This 292-nucleotide ribosomal RNA is filed under the name uncultured bacterium. RNAcentral's name for it is "partial 16S ribosomal RNA". It matches the Rfam family "Bacterial small subunit ribosomal RNA", at positions 505 to 796 of the family's 1533-position model. The record is from RNAcentral.
GUUACAGCAGCCGCGGUAAUACGGAGGGUGCAAGCGUUGUUCGGAAUCACUGGGCGUAAAGGGCGCGUAGGCGGCUUCAAUAGUCCGAUGUGAAAGCCCGGGGCUCAACCCCGGAAGUGCAUUGGAAACUGUGAGGCUUGAGUUCGGGAGAGGAAGGCAGAAUUCCCGGUGUAGGGUUGAAAUCCGUAGAUAUCGGGAGGAAAACCGGUGGCGAAGGCGGCCUUCUGGAACGAAACUGACGCUGAGGCGCGAAAGCGUGGGGAGCAAACAGGAUUAGAUACCCCUGUAGUCC